Molecule: ribosomal RNA, 429 nt
Filed under: Gemmatimonadota bacterium
Lineage: Bacteria; Pseudomonadati; Gemmatimonadota
Description: Gemmatimonadetes bacterium partial 16S ribosomal RNA
Rfam family: Bacterial small subunit ribosomal RNA
Source: RNAcentral
UAGGGAAUCUUCGGCAAUGGACGAAAGUCUGACCGAGCAACGCCGCGUGAGUGAAGAAGGUUUUCGGAUCGUAAAACUCUGUUGUUAGAGAAGAACAAGGACGUUAGUAACUGAACGUCCCCUUACCGUAUCUAACCAGAAAGCCACGGCUAACUACGUGCCAGCAGCCGCGGUAAUACGUAGGUGGCAAGCGUUGUCCGGAUUUAUUGGGCGUAAAGCGAGCGCAGGCGGUUUCUUAAGUCUGAUGUGAAAGCCCCCGGCUCAACCGGGGAGGGUCAUUGGAAACUGGGAGACUUGAGUGCAGAAGAGGAGAGUGGAAUUCCAUGUGUAGCGGUGAAAUGCGUAGAUAUAUGGAGGAACACCAGUGGCGAAGGCGGCUCUCUGGUCUGUAACUGACGCUGAGGCUCGAAAGCGUGGGGAGCAAACAGG